UACGUAGGGUGCGAGCGUUGUCCGGAAUUACUGGGCGUAAAGGGCGCGUAGGCGGUUCGAUAAGUCCCGUGUGAAAUCCCUCGGCUCAACUGAGGAACUGCACGGGAAACUGACGGGCUUGAGUCCGGGAGAGGGAAGCGGAAUUCCGGGUGUAGCGGUGAAAUGCGUAGAUAUCCGGAGGAACACCGGUGGCGAAGGCGGCUUCCUGGACCGACACUGACGCUGAGGCGCGAAAGCUAGGGGAGCAAACGGG
Molecule: ribosomal RNA, 253 nt
Filed under: uncultured bacterium
Lineage: Bacteria
Description: partial 16S ribosomal RNA
Rfam family: Bacterial small subunit ribosomal RNA
Source: RNAcentral